Molecule: long non-coding RNA, 1099 nt
Organism: Lagopus muta (rock ptarmigan)
Lineage: Eukaryota; Metazoa; Chordata; Aves; Galliformes; Phasianidae
Exons: 3
Source: RefSeq, a predicted model, not a curated record
AAGAAAGUAGUGUCUCAGGAUAGAGAUUGCAGUUCUCUAGAGCUGUUGUUGGUCAUCAGAAUGGCAAGAGCUGGCUGAGGAACAACGAUCUGACUUGCUACAGCCUUUAAGGUUUUGAAAUUCCCUGUUGGAAGAGGAUCAAACUUUCCGCUGUCUGUGAAGCAGAGCUGUUGAGACAUCCAUUUUCAUAUUCUCAAGGUCAAGCAUUUCUUGAGAUUUUUCUCUAUAGCAUCAGUUAAGACCUCAGAAACCUACCCUAACUAAAUUCAUUCAUGUGGCACUUACCUUGGAUAUCUUCAGCAACCAGAGAAAGCAGCUCUUUAAAAUGUAUGGAGACAGCCACCAGAUCAUGGCAAUAUGCAAAAAGCGUGGUGUUGUAACAGAAUUAUGAAGUGGCCUCUGGGACGGUGGUGAGUUGGGAAUCAGGCUCUUGAAAACUGAUUUUCCCUUUGUGUCCUCUGCAAAACCAGCUGAUCUCUCCUGCACCAUCCUCACCAAGAUGCAGCAAGCGGUGCUUGAUCUGCUGUGAGGAAAUGGGGCCAGUGUGCCCAGGCGGAUGCAAACUGUGGUCUGCGUUGUGUCAGAGUGGUCCUGGGGCAUUGUAUCCAAAGACAUGUGAAUCUCAGUCUUCCUCGCUGCUAGUGCUCCCAGAUGCACAGUGCAAACCCACAUGUGAAGUGUGGUUAAAAAAUACCAACAACAGAACUGUAAAUAUGAGUGAGCACUGCUUGGUUUGUAGGAGUUAGGGAUUGACUCCCCUGUGUUAAUUGACACCCCCCUGGGUUAAUCACUCAUUUACUGGAAUGAAUGAUCACCAUUCAGUGCAGCAUGUGCUAUGAAAAGAGUAACAAAAAAGACAAAUAUCUAAAACCUAUUGUUAUGCUAAGGUAGAUAAGCAUGCAAAUAAAUCAUCACAGAUUGAAAAGCAGUCUGCUACCAGGAUGUGUUUUUUAGGUGUUCUGUUUUUGUUUUUUGUUUUUUUUUUUAUAGUUCUCACUGAGCUAGGAGAAGGAAUAAAAAUAAAAUCAGAUCUUGAAACCAAAUUUCAGCUUUCAGAAGAUUGUGAUUAGAAUAUUUGUUUAUCCUCCCACCUCCAAUG